This 61-nucleotide transfer RNA is filed under the name Schistosoma japonicum. Its description in RNAcentral is "tRNA-Ser". Lineage: Eukaryota; Metazoa; Platyhelminthes; Trematoda; Strigeidida; Schistosomatidae. The record is from RNAcentral.
AGUGUUUUACAUUGUUUUAAUUUGAAGUUAAUUUAUCAUGAUUAAUUUCAUGUAUACGCUU